AGUGAACGCUGGCGGUAGGCCUAACACAUGCAAGUCGAACGGAAGCACAGUAAGCGCUUGCUCUUACGGGUGGCGAGUGGCGGACGGGUGAGGCAUACAUCGGCAUCUAAUUUUUCGUGGGGGAUAACGUAGGGAAACUUACGCUACUACCGCAUAUGUCCUACGGCUGAAAGCAGGAGAUCUUCGGACCUUGCGCGACUGAAUGAGCUGAUGUCGGAUUAGCUAGUUGGCGGGGUAAAGGCCCACCAAGGCGACGAUCCGUAGCUGGUCUGAGAGGAUGAUCAGCCACACUGGAACUGAGACACGGUCCAGACUCCUACGGGAGGCAGCAGUAGGGAAUAUUCGGCAAUGGGCGCAAGCCUGAUCCAGCCACGCCGCGUGAGUGAAGAAGGCCUUCGGGUUGUAAAGCCCUGUUGUUGGGAAAGAAAAACAGCAGGUGAAUACCCCGCUGUUCUGACGGUACCCAAAGAGUAAGCACCGGCUAACUUCGUG
RNAcentral lists this ribosomal RNA (492 nucleotides) under uncultured bacterium. RNAcentral describes it as "partial 16S ribosomal RNA". It matches the Rfam family "Bacterial small subunit ribosomal RNA", at positions 29 to 507 of the family's 1533-position model. The record is from RNAcentral.